Transfer RNA from Sporothrix schenckii ATCC 58251, 97 nucleotides. It matches the Rfam family "tRNA". Rfam says of the family: Transfer RNA (tRNA) molecules are approximately 80 nucleotides in length. Their secondary structure includes four short double-helical elements and three loops (D, anti-codon, and T loops). NCBI's taxonomy places the organism in Eukaryota, Fungi, Ascomycota, Sordariomycetes, Ophiostomatales, Ophiostomataceae. The record is from Rfam.
GGGCAAUUGGCUUAGGUGGUAUAGCGCCCGCUUAGCAUCGCAUCAUGCGCAAAUGCCAACCUGCGGGAGGUCCAGGGUUCGAGUCCCUGAUUGUCCA